GACGAACGCUGGCGGCGUGCUUAACACAUGCAAGUCGAACGGAAAGGCCCUUCGGGGUGCUCGAGUGGCGAACGGGUGAGUAACACGUGAGUAACCUGUCCUUGUCUUUGGGAUAACCUUCGGAAACGGGGGCUAAUACCGGAUAUUCCCGCAUCACCGCAUGGUGGGGUGGGGAAAGCUUUUGCGGAUUGGGGUGGGCUCGCGGCCUAUCAGCUUGUUGGUGGGGUGAUGGCCUACCAAGGCUUUGACGGGUAGCCGGCCUGAGAGGGCGACCGGCCACACUGGGACUGAGACACGGCCCAGACUCCUACGGGAGGCAGCAGUGGGGAAUAUUGCACAAUGGACGCAAGUCUGAUGCAGCGACGCCGUGUGAGGGAUGACGGCCUUCGGGUUGUAAACCUCUUUCGUCAGGGACGAAGCCGGUUUUGCCGGUGACGGUACCUGGAGAAGAAGCGCCGGCCAACUACGUGCCAGCAGCCGCAGUAAAAC
RNAcentral lists this ribosomal RNA (489 nucleotides) under uncultured bacterium. RNAcentral's name for it is "bacterial SSU rRNA". It matches the Rfam family "Bacterial small subunit ribosomal RNA", at positions 28 to 526 of the family's 1533-position model. The record is from RNAcentral.